RNAcentral lists this ribosomal RNA (46 nucleotides) under Hemicycliophora lutosa. RNAcentral's name for it is "partial 28S ribosomal RNA". Lineage: Eukaryota; Metazoa; Nematoda; Chromadorea; Rhabditida; Hemicycliophoridae. The record is from RNAcentral.
UUCCGACCUGAACUCAGACGAGACUACCCGCUGAACUUAAGCAUAU